UACGGAGGGUGCGAGCGUUGUCCGGAAUCAUUGGGCGUAAAGGGCGCGUAGGUGGCCUGCUAAGCGUGCGGUGAAAGCUCGGGGCUCAACUCCGAGUCGGCCGUGCGAACUGGGCUCACGUGGAGCAUAGUAGAGGCAGGUGGAAUUCCGGGUGUAGCGGUGGAAUGCGUAGAGAUCCGGAAGAACACCGGUGGCGAAGGCGGCCUGCUGGGCUAUGGCUGACACUGAGGCGCGACAGCGUGGGGAGCAAACAGG
This 255-nucleotide ribosomal RNA is filed under the name uncultured bacterium. Its description in RNAcentral is "partial 16S ribosomal RNA". It matches the Rfam family "Bacterial small subunit ribosomal RNA", at positions 524 to 776 of the family's 1533-position model. The record is from RNAcentral.